This 851-nucleotide ribosomal RNA is filed under the name uncultured Dinobryon. RNAcentral's name for it is "partial Eukaryotic large subunit ribosomal RNA". It matches the Rfam family "Eukaryotic large subunit ribosomal RNA", at positions 2470 to 3381 of the family's 3401-position model. Lineage: Eukaryota; Chrysophyceae; Chromulinales. The record is from RNAcentral.
CGGGAGGCGCUAGCCGACAGUGAAAUACCGCAACCGUCAACGUUGUUUUACUUACUCGGUUGGGCGGAGAGGGAUCUGAUCCCACUUCUGGGUCGAAGCGUGCGCUUGCGCUGCGCGAUCCGCGUCGGGGACACUAACAGGUGGGGAGUUUGGCUGGGGCGGCACGUCUGUUAAAAAAUAACGCAGGCGCCCGAUUUUGAGCUCAAUGAGAACAGAAAUCUCAUGUGGACCGAAAGGGGAAAAGCUCGGUUGAUUUUGAUUUUCAGUACGAAUACAAACCGCGAAAGCGUGGCCUAUCGAUCCUUUAGUCUUUGGGAAUUUCAAGCUAGAGGUGUCAGAAAAGUUACCACAGGGAUAACUGGCUUGUGGCUGCCAAGCGUUCAUAGCGACGUAGCUUUUUGAUCCUUCGAUGUCGGCUCUUCCUAUCACUGCCUCGCAGCAGGGGCCAAAUGUAGGAUUGUUCACCCACCAACAGGGAACGUGAGCUGGGUUUAGACCGUCGUGAGACAGGUUAGUUUUACCCUACUGCUGUCUGCUUUCGCACGGUAAUUUGGUUCAGUACGAGAGGAACCACCAAUUCGCACCAUCGGUAUAGCCGCCGCCGGAAACGGCGAUGCGGCGACGCUGCCAUGCGCCGGAUUAUAACUGAACGCCUCUAAGUUAGAAUCCAUGCCGGCACGAAAGCCUCCUUCCGGCCCGGGGACGCCACGAGCGACGGUAGCACCGCCUGAGCCGCGAGCGAUCACAAUUUCCGGACCCGGGCCGAUGAAUCCCUUGCAGACGACUUGAAUAAGGAACGGGGUAUUGUACGCGGCAGAGUGGCCUUGUUGCCACGAUCCGCUGAGAUUCAG